GACGAGAUGUGCAAGCGUUGUUCGGAAUUACUGGGCAUAAAGGGUGCGCAGGCGGUUUGGUAAGUCAGAUGUGAAAUCCCUCGGCUCAACCGGGGAAUUGCAUUUGAUACUGCCAGACUUGAGAGUGAAAGAGGCAAGCGGAAUUCCAGGUGUAGCGGUGGAAUGCGUAGAUAUCUGGGAGAACGCCAAAGGCGAAGGCAGCUUGCUGGGUCACUUCUGACGCUCAUGCACGAAAGCUAGGGGAGCGAACAGG
RNAcentral lists this ribosomal RNA (253 nucleotides) under uncultured bacterium. Its description in RNAcentral is "partial 16S ribosomal RNA". It matches the Rfam family "Bacterial small subunit ribosomal RNA", at positions 524 to 776 of the family's 1533-position model. The record is from RNAcentral.